RNAcentral lists this ribosomal RNA (497 nucleotides) under uncultured bacterium. RNAcentral describes it as "partial 16S ribosomal RNA". It matches the Rfam family "Bacterial small subunit ribosomal RNA", at positions 28 to 507 of the family's 1533-position model. The record is from RNAcentral.
GAUGAACGCUGGCGGCGUGCCUAAUACAUGCAAGUCGAGCGAACGGACGAGAAGCUUGCUUCUCUGAUGUUAGCGGCGGACGGGUGAGUAACACGUGGAUAACCUACCUAUAAGACUGGGAUAACUUCGGGAAACCGUAGCUAAUACCGGAUAAUAUUUUGAACCGCAUGGUUCAAAAGUGAAAGACGGUCUUGCUGUCACUUAUAGAUGGAUCCGCGCUGCAUUAGCUAGUUGGUAAGGUAACGGCUUACCAAGGCAACGAUGCAUAGCCGACCUGAGAGGGUGAUCGGCCACACUGGAACUGAGACACGGUCCAGACUCCUACGGGAGGCAGCAGUAGGGAAUCUUCCGCAAUGGGCGAAAGCCUGACGGAGCAACGCCGCGUGAGUGAUGAAGGUCUUCGGAUCGUAAAACUCUGUUAUUAGGGAACAACAUAUGUGUAAGUAACUGUGCACAUCUUGACGGUACCUAAUCAGAAAGCCACGGCUAACUACGUG